This 253-nucleotide ribosomal RNA is filed under the name uncultured bacterium. RNAcentral's name for it is "partial 16S ribosomal RNA". It matches the Rfam family "Bacterial small subunit ribosomal RNA", at positions 524 to 776 of the family's 1533-position model. The record is from RNAcentral.
UACGAAGGUCCCGAGCGUUAUUCGGAAUCACUGGGCGUAAAGGGAGCGUAGGCGGCGUGGAAAGUCAGAUGUGAAAUCCCGGGGCUCAACCCCGGAACUGCAUCCGAUACUACCAUGCUAGAGUAUUGGAGGGGUAACUGGAAUUCUCGGUGUAGCAGUGAAAUGCGUAGAUAUCGAGAGGAACACUCGUGGCGAAAGCGAGUUACUGGACAAUGACUGACGCUGAGGAUCGAAGGCUAGGGGAGCAAAAGGG